RNAcentral lists this long non-coding RNA (204 nucleotides) under Mytilus galloprovincialis (Mediterranean mussel). The record is from RNAcentral. Lineage: Eukaryota; Metazoa; Mollusca; Bivalvia; Mytilida; Mytilidae.
UGCCCAGUAUUAUCUAUUCUUUGUAUUUUAACACACCAUCAUUUUCUUUUAUUAUCAGUCUUUUCUUAAUCUUUAAUUUCUCAGCCUUUAAAUAUUGCACUUUUGCUUAAUAAGGGAUUAUUACAUGAUUGGUGUAUCUAUUCUGUAAACACCAUCCAGACCCUCAGUUUAGGUGAAUAUAUUUAAGUUAUCUGGUGUAUUAAG